GAUGAACGCUGGCGGCGUGCCUAAUACAUGCAAGUCGAGCGAACGGACGAGAAGCUUGCUUCUCUGAUGUUAGCGGCGGACGGGUGAGUAACACGUGGAUAACCUACCUAUAAGACUGGGAUAACUUCGGGAAACCGGAGCUAAUACCGGAUAAUAUUUUGAACCGCAUGGUUCAAAAGUGAAAGACGGUCUUGCUGUCACUUAUAGAUGGAUCCGCGCUGCAUUAGCUAGUUGGUAAGGUAACGGCUUACCAAGGCAACGAUGCAUAGCCGACCUGAGAGGGGGAUCGGCCACACUGGAACUGAGACACGGUCCAGACGCCUACGGGAGGCAGCAGUAGGGAAUCUUCCGCAAUGGGCGAAAGCCUGACGGAGCAACGCCGCGUGAGUGAUGAAGGUCUUCGGAUCGUAAAACUCUGUUAUUAGGGAAGAACAUAUGUGUAAGUAACUGUGCACAGCUUGACGGUACCUAAUCAGAAAGCCACGGCUAACUACGUG
Molecule: ribosomal RNA, 497 nt
Filed under: uncultured bacterium
Lineage: Bacteria
Description: partial 16S ribosomal RNA
Rfam family: Bacterial small subunit ribosomal RNA
Source: RNAcentral